UCCUACGGGCGGCUGCAGUGGGGAAUUUUACGCAAUGGGCGAAAGCCUGACGUAGCGACACCGCGUGAGCGAAGAAGCCUUUUGGGGUGUAAAGCUCUGUCAGCUGGAACGAACACAAUGACGGUACCAGCAGAGGAAGCAUCGGCUAACUACGUGCCAGCAGCCGCGGUAAGACGUAGGAUGCAAGCGUUGUCCGGAUUUAUUGGGCGUAAAGAGUUCGUAGGCGGUUAGUUAAGUCUGGUGUUAAAUCCCGUGGCCCAACCACGGGGCUGCAUCAAAUACUGGCUGACUUGAGUGCGGUAGAGGCGAGUGGAAUUCCCAGUGUAGCGGUGAAAUGCGUAGAUAUUGGGAAGAACACCAGUGGCGUAAGCGACUCGCUGGGCCGUAACUGACGCUGAGGAACGAAAGCCAGGGGAGCGAAUGGGAUUAGAUACCCCUGUAGUCA
This 445-nucleotide ribosomal RNA is filed under the name uncultured bacterium. RNAcentral describes it as "bacterial SSU rRNA". It matches the Rfam family "Bacterial small subunit ribosomal RNA", at positions 337 to 796 of the family's 1533-position model. The record is from RNAcentral.